AUCAAUGGAGGAAAUAGGAUGGGAUCAAAGAAUUUGGUUAAGAGGUCAGUUUCAGAACCACCAAAAAGAUAUAUGUCAAAUUGAGAAAACAAGGGAAGUUUCCGACAGGAUCUCGUGUCCGUUGAGCUUUGACUUCCUUAAACAGCAUAUAACCAAAUUUUACUUGGAAAGAGUUGAACUUAUUGCAAUUUUAGGGUUUUAUAAUCUUCAAGUGUGCUUCACACCGAUGCCAAAACAACUAGGUGUUUUACGUACCGAACACCUUGAAUUAUAACUACACAACAUAAUGAUCACUGAAUUUUUUUUUUUUUUUUUUUUUAAAUACUUCUUUCAUUUAUCUUCCGAAAAGAGAUAUCAUUUUACAAAUAUCAGUUUAGAAUAGAAGCUGAAGCAAAAUGAUCACUGAAUUGAUCACUGAAUUGCUUGGUACACAAAUUUUUUUUGGCAGAUUUAUCCGUAAAAACCGUUUCACAGUCAAAAUUUUGGAUACUCUAUUAAUAGUUUAACAGCUUUAUAACUUCUAGCAUUUGAAUUUAUUAAGCAAACAAGUGUACU
RNAcentral lists this long non-coding RNA (555 nucleotides) under Brassica rapa (field mustard). RNAcentral describes it as "long non-coding RNA (BRAP_LNC000706)". The record is from RNAcentral. Lineage: Eukaryota; Viridiplantae; Streptophyta; Magnoliopsida; Brassicales; Brassicaceae.